RNAcentral lists this unclassified non-coding RNA (777 nucleotides) under Hevea brasiliensis (rubber tree). The record is from RNAcentral. Lineage: Eukaryota; Viridiplantae; Streptophyta; Magnoliopsida; Malpighiales; Euphorbiaceae.
AAACUCCAUGUUUCAGAAAGAAACCAUAAGUGCUGCAAAGGAGAUUAUUGAUAAGGAAAUUGCUCAGAAGCUUGACGUAAAAAAUCCCCUUUUUGCUUCAAGUUCAAGCUCAUUUCGCAUAGCGGAUUUGGGAUGUUCAGUUGGACCAAAUACCUUUAUUGCUAUGGAAAAUGUGAUUGAAGCUGUCAAACACAAGUAUCAAUCCCAAGGUCUCACUUCCCAAAUCCCAGAAUUUCAAGUGUUCUUUAAUGAUCAAGACUCGAAUGAUUUCAACACUCUCUUCAGGUCUCUGCCUCCCAAAAGGCCAUACUUUGCUGCUGGGGUGCCAGGGUCUUUCCAUUACCAGUUGUUCCCCACGUCCUCUCUCCAUUUCAUACAUGCUUCCCAUGCAUUACAUUGGCUCUCUCAGGUGCCAAAUGAGGUGGUAGAUGAGAACUCUCCUGCUUGGAACAGGGGCAAAAUUUUCUACCUUAGUGCACCAGAAGAAGUAGGCAAAGCUUACGCUGCUCAGUUUGCAAAAGACGUAGGGAUGUUUUUAGAUGCUAGAGCAACAGAGCUUGUGUCUGGUGGCAUGCUGGUGCUAAUUAUAGGAUCCUUCCGAAAUGAGAUUUCUCCUUCUCACACGCUAGCUUCUGUGUUGUUCGAUCUUUUGGAGUCUACCCUGCUGGACAUGGCAAAAGAGGGAUUAAUAAGCAAAGCUCAGGUGGACUCCUUCAAUUUGCCUUUGUAUCUUGCUACUCCUAACGAGAUGACAGAGAUCAUAGAAAAAAAUGGGCG